This 253-nucleotide ribosomal RNA is filed under the name uncultured bacterium. Its description in RNAcentral is "partial 16S ribosomal RNA". It matches the Rfam family "Bacterial small subunit ribosomal RNA", at positions 524 to 776 of the family's 1533-position model. The record is from RNAcentral.
UACGGAGGGGACUAGCGUUGUUCGGAAUUACUGGGCGUAAAGAGUACGUAGGCGGCUUAUCAAGUUGGGUGUGAAAGCCCGGGGCUCAACCCCGGAACUGCACUCAAAACUGGUAAGCUAGAGAUCGGAAGAGGUAAGUGGAAUUCCCAGUGUAGAGGUGAAAUUCGUAGAUAUUGGGAAGAACACCAGUGGCGAAGGCGGCUUACUGGUCCGAGACUGACGCUGAGGUACGAAAGCGUGGGGAGCAAACAGG